GACGAACGCUGGCGGCGUGCCUAAUACAUGCAAGUUGAGCGCUGAAGGUUGGUACUUGUACCGACUGGAUGAGCAGCGAACGGGUGAGUAACGCGUGGGGAAUCUGCCUUUGAGCGGGGGACAACAUUUGGAAACGAAUGCUAAUACCGCAUAAAAACUUUAAACACAAGUUUUAAGUUUGAAAGAUGCAAUUGCAUCACUCAAAGAUGAUCCCGCGUUGUAUUAGCUAGUUGGUGAGGUAAAGGCUCACCAAGGCGAUGAUACAUAGCCGACCUGAGAGGGUGAUCGGCCACAUUGGGACUGAGACACGGCCCAAACUCCUACGGGAGGCAGCAGUAGGGAAUCUUCGGCAAUGGACGAAAGUCUGACCGAGCAACGCCGCGUGAGUGAAGAAGGUUUUCGGAUCGUAAAACUCUGUUGGUAGAGAAGAACGUUGGUGAGAGUGGAAAGCUCAUCAAGUGACGGUAACUACCCAGAAGGGGACGGCUAACUACGUG
This 497-nucleotide ribosomal RNA is filed under the name uncultured bacterium. RNAcentral describes it as "partial 16S ribosomal RNA". It matches the Rfam family "Bacterial small subunit ribosomal RNA", at positions 28 to 507 of the family's 1533-position model. The record is from RNAcentral.